CUGUUUGUUUGAAUGUUUGCAGGAUGACAACCUUUUUCUUAGCUUUGCUGGUGUUUUCAGCAAUGUUGACAGAUAUUAUGGCACAACCACCACAAGAACUGAUAGUCAACAUCACCAUACUUCACAGUGCCACUGCUGAAGGCGCAGUGUGCCUAGAUGGGAGCCCCCCGGCAUAUCAUCUUGAUCAGGAUAUGGUAGCGGACUUCACAGCUGGAUCAUCACCAUUGAUGGGGGUGGUUGGUGCCAGAGCAUCUCGGAUUGCCGUAGUCGUUCAACUAGCGACUUAGGUUCUUCCACAAAGAUGCAGCCGCCAGAAGCUAAGUUUUCGGGGAUUCUUCAUAACGAUCCCAGAACUAAUCCAGGUGAACUAAGCUCAUAUUUCAGUUACUUAUUUACAAUUGUUCUUUUUCUUUGUAUGUGUAUUUUAAGCAGUUACUAAUUGUAAAAUUUGAGUUGGUAAACUUUUACAAUUGGAAUAGAGUGAGGGUUAGAUAUUGUGAUGGAUCAUGUUGAAGAUGUUGACCCUGUAAGUAGUAGUACAUAUAUCUCUUUAAUUUGUUGGAAAAUUAUUUUGAGUGCUAUUUAUAUUGCUUUACAUAAAAGUUAAAACUUUACUGAUUUGAAAAAGUCUAACUAUGUUAGGAUACCAAACUUUAUUAUAGAGGAGCAAGAAUCUUCAGAGCCAUUAUGAAUAAUUUAUCCAGAAAAGGAAUGCAAACUGCUGAAAAUGCAAUCCUAAGCGGAACUUUAACUGGAGGAUUGGCUACAACUGUGACAAGUUCAAAUCCUUCUUUCCUGUUGAUGCGAGAGUAAAGUGCGUUGCGGAUGCAGGCUUCUUCAUUAACACGAAGACAAUCUCUGGUACUUCAGAUAUUCAAGAUGAGUAUAACAGAGUCGUUAAUUUACAUGUGAGUCUCAUUGUCUUUUUCGUUUUAGUAAGAUAUACAACACGCUUAAUUAAUAAGCAGUUUUGAUUGCUUUAAUAUUUCUUUUUUCCUUUUGUUUAAGAGGUCGGCUAAGAAUUUGCCUACAUCUUGCACCUCUACAAUAGAUCCAAGCUUGGUAAGAGUUUAAAUUUUAAUUUGGAAACAAAUAAACUCUUAUGCUAUAUUUUUAUUGCCCUCUACUAACAUUAGUAUAUCUUGUACUAUCGAAAAAGGUUUAAAAAUAUCCUCUGUUAUACUAUUUGGUUAUUUCGACCCAUACCAUUAUACUAUCAUUCAAAUAUACCCCUUCCUUGGACGGAAUACCACGUGGAUUAAAGAGACCCAUCCCCUUUUUUUACCUGAUUCAAUUCCCCUCUACCCAUAACCCGACCCAAGUCAGCUCUUUUUAUAAAAAAAAAAACCCUAAAUGAGUGGAAUCAACUUUCAUGAACAUCUUCUCUAAUUUUCCUCUUCUCUUUUCCAUUUCCUUUUCCUUUAAUUCUUCUACUUUUUUUUUUCUUACUCCUUACCCAUUAUAACAGAAACGAUUGUAUAUAUAGAUUGAUUUUGGGUUUACAUAAAAUCAGAAAAUUUUCUAUCCAUAUAUCUAUCAACCAAGUAAUUUGGUUUUGAAAUCAUGACCUUAUUGAAGAAGAAAAGCCACCCAUCUUCUCUGACAUCUCAUUCUUUUGGCAUGAAGCUUGGGCUAAAAUUUAAACCAAACAUAAAUAGAUUUCCAAGAACAAGAGGACUCGGGUUCGAUUACAAGAAUUUUGAGGCUCAAGUCUGCAUUUUUAUCAGACAAGUAGAAGGCAACCACGUCAUACCUGCAAAAUCACCCGUGGAUUGUCUCAACGUUGUUAGCAUAAAAAUUGAAAAUCAUCACUGCGUCUAGUACUCAAAAAGAGGAAAACAAAACGUGCCAAAAACAGACGCAAGAUAUAAAGAUUAAAGCCUAUAUUUACAUGAACAUAGUGACCUAUUAAAGUAUGUUGUUGGUUUGGCUGCUAACGAAAUCAUUAUAGUAAUAUGAGGGGUUUAAUUGGAUAGGGCUGUUUUUAAGCGGAUGGGUAUGAGUCUAAUUGGGGUUAUCUUAGUAUUGAACCGGGUAUUUUAAUUUGGAGUGACACUCUUUAAUUCUGAUGAAACAAGAGGGGUUGCUCUGAUGGUAAGCAACUUCCACUUCCAACCAAGAUGUUGUGAGUUC
This is a non-coding RNA of Nicotiana tabacum (common tobacco), 2133 nucleotides long. The record is from RefSeq and is a predicted model, not a curated record. Lineage: Eukaryota; Viridiplantae; Streptophyta; Magnoliopsida; Solanales; Solanaceae.